GCCGAGCAGGCGAAGCUUGUUGAACUUCAUGGGGCGCAAUACCCCCCUCUGCCCUGCCGGGCAUCUCCCCCACAGGGGGGGAGAUCGGCAAGACGCAUGGCUUUCCACGACAUCAAGGUCGCAGAUGCCGAAACGACCAGAGUGACAGGUCUAAGCGAAAGGUAUUUGGUUGAGCAGGACAUCGCCACUUGCCGAUCUCCCCCCUUGUGGGGGAGAUGCCCGGCAGGGCAGAGGGGGGUA
This 240-nucleotide non-coding RNA is filed under the name Sinorhizobium fredii NGR234. Lineage: Bacteria; Pseudomonadati; Pseudomonadota; Alphaproteobacteria; Hyphomicrobiales; Rhizobiaceae. The record is from RNAcentral.